UACGGGGGGGGCAAGCGUUGUUCGGAAUUACUGGGCGUAAAGGGCUCGUAGGUGGCCAACUAAGUCAGACGUGAAAUCCCUCGGCUUAACCGGGGAACUGCGUCUGAUACUGGAUGGCUUGAGUUCGGGAGAGGGAUGCGAAAUUCCAGGUGUAGCGGUGAAAUGCGUAGAUAUCUGGAGGAACACCGGUGGCGAAGGCGGCAUCCUGGACCGACACUGACGCUGAGGAGCGAAAGCCAGGGGAGCAAACGGG
Molecule: ribosomal RNA, 253 nt
Filed under: uncultured bacterium
Lineage: Bacteria
Description: partial 16S ribosomal RNA
Rfam family: Bacterial small subunit ribosomal RNA
Source: RNAcentral